AUGAAAAGAAUAGACAAGAGAGACAAGUUUCCCAGCAGGAAGCUUGCUGACGAGCGGCUGGAGCCCUGGAGCGCAGGGGACAGAAUCCCACCCAAGCUCAGCAUUCGGUUGCGUUUUGCCCGGGGCAAGACCUGUGCUAAUACCAGAACGAUCCGCUGCUCUAAAGAACUUCAAACACUAAAGCGUACAUUAGGAAGCAUACGCGAUGCUCUCAGAUGCGUUUCUCAUGAUCAAAACUGCAGAGAUCCAGAGUUCAGUGGAGAUGCCAUGGGAGCUGAACUCCGUUUGCAGGCCCACCUUAGGGUAGAUGCUGUCUGCAAGGGCCCUGCCUCCUCUUGGGUUAUCAUCUUCCUCUGCUUCCUGCCUGCAGACCAAAGAAAACCCCAGGCACAGAAAAGUCCUGUGGGCAUGUGGCCUACAGUCAGACAGCUGCUGUUCAGGAUUUUUAAUGUAUUCACCACUCUCAGGACAAAAUCUUGAAAAGGGAAAGGUUUUUCUGAGUUUCCAUUAAAAUCUCUGAUGUGUACAACAGGGACACCAAAUAUUAUUUACUUUUGCUUGUUUUGUUUUGUUUUGUUUUGUUUCAGUGAUGCAUUUAGUUUCAUUUAAAGGAAAGAAGAGAAAGUGAAAAGUAAAAAAAAAAAUAAAAAGUACUGUGUUUGAUAAUUUCUCCA
This 674-nucleotide long non-coding RNA is filed under the name Cyanistes caeruleus (blue tit). RNAcentral describes it as "lncRNA (ENSCCEG00000010746.1)". The record is from RNAcentral. Lineage: Eukaryota; Metazoa; Chordata; Aves; Passeriformes; Paridae.